CACGUCCUCCAAGGCUGCAGCAGGGUGGGAGAAAGCAGAAACGGUGGGCUAGCUCGCCCUGCAAGCUGCUGGUGUUCCCCAGGCCCCACACCAGGGAAGACUCCAGAAUGGACACACAGGGGAGAACAUGAGAGGCAUGAAAGAGCAGCAAGAACAAGAACAAAAAUAAAUUACCAGUUUUGUGCUGGGGGGUGGGGGAAAAGGCAGCAAGAAAGACUUAGGUUAGGCGAGGGGGAAAAACUUCCCAUCAGGGACUAUAGGGGAAGGUCUCAAAUAUAAAGGUCAGGAGCUUGGGCUCUGGAGGCUGACUGGCUGAGCUCUGAUGCCACUUCCUCACUGCAUGGCUUUAGGCGGGCAUGUACAAUGAGGAUAAUAAUAGUCCCCACUUCACGGUGUCAUUGUCAUUGAGGAUUAAAGGAAAGAAUGUGUGUCAGGUGCUUAGCAAAGGGCACAGCACUAGUACAUGUUCAAGACAUGAUGGCCGUAUCGACAGCAGUAGGCAAGAAGACUCAGGAAAAGGUCUGUGAGCCAGAGUUUGGGGUUGGGGAGCCAGGACUGAACAACAAGGGGGGAUCUUAGGGGCCCAGAGACUUCCAAAUGCUCCAUGAGGACUGAGAAUUUUCCAUUCGUUCACUGCCACUCUCAGUGCCAAGAGUAGUGCUAGAACAUAGUAAUGACUCAGUCAAUCUUGGUUGCUAACAAAAUGACUUUUCCAAGCACUUGCAUUAUUUACCAAAUGACUUAUCUGUCAAGCGGUCUCACCGUACAGGCAGGGCCUGGGCCCUUAUGCCCUUUGGACACAUGGGAAGAGUGGGGCCUUGACACCUGAGCUGCUGACAAGGUCACACAGUUAGGGAAGAGGAAGGGAAGUCACUGGACUACAUUCAGUGUGCUUUCCCUCUUGACAGUGUCUGAUUGUCCCACACAUGGUCCAGAUUCCUCGGAACUCCCUUGUAGGACACUGGGCCCAUCCAGAGACACUCAGAGACCCCCAAGACAGGGGCAAUGCUGGGAGGGCACAGGAAUAUGAAGGAUCAAGGAUGGUGGAUACCAGUUCUGUUGUCCUUCAUGUUCUCCUCGUUCUCAUCAGGAGCAUAGUUGGAGAGGAAGUUGGCAAAGGAGCCAUUGCGCUGCAGCAGGGCUGGGUAGGAGCCCACCUCAGAAACCUGCCCGUCAGCCAGCACUAUGAUGAAGUCCAUCUGGGGCAGGAAGCUGAUGCUGUGUGUCACCAGCACCCGUGUCUAGGGAGAAGACAGCAGGCUACCAUUUCCACCAUCCUUAGCACAUACCCCUGGCACAGGCACAGGGCCACAGGGGAGGUAUCGUCAGCCCCACUUUCUAGGUGAAGAAAUUAGAGCCCAAGACAUUAAUGACUUUGUCCAAGGUCCUGAACUAUUCAGGGCAGAAGCAAGAAUGGAAACCCAGCACCAACCCCCAAAUUUGUCAACUCUGCGAUUGUUCAGGAGCCACAGAAGAGGAUGUUUCUAGACCUCCACGGCUCCUGCUCCAGGCCCUUCCCCUCUGUCUCAGCCUCCGUUCUUAGCGCUCACUAACAAACUCCAAGUCGCCUUCUUCAGGCUCCAUUUUCCUGGCAGCUUGUAGCACUGGAGCCAACCAACAACUGCCUAUCCAGCAAACUUGAUGACCUCCCUGGCUACCUGCUUCCGGUCCUUCCCAGGCUGGCUUCCCUGCUCCUCCCUGGGAUUUCCAGACACCCGAGCACACCUCUGCCUCUAAUGGUUUCUCUUGCAAGACUUUGACACCUUGUCUUAUGCGUCUUAUGUGUCUGUAUCCCUAGCAUCUAGCACCAUUCCAGUAUACUGGAGGCCCAAUCAGUAUUUUUUGAAUGAGAAUGGAUGUGUGCAUGAAUGCAGUGACAAGAUGUGUGUGUGUGUGUGGGGGGGGGUGCUAAGCUGCUAGGCAGCUCUCCUUCUUACCCUAUCAUCUGAGAGCUCCUUCCAGCCCAAGCCACUCAUGUGGCAGAUAACAGGGUCUACCAACUGGGAAGAGCACCGGAGCCGGAGCGCAGAGCCCUGGACUCCCAACCAU
Molecule: long non-coding RNA, 2049 nt
Organism: Canis lupus familiaris (dog)
Lineage: Eukaryota; Metazoa; Chordata; Mammalia; Carnivora; Canidae
Exons: 4
Source: RefSeq, a predicted model, not a curated record